RNAcentral lists this unclassified non-coding RNA (390 nucleotides) under Hevea brasiliensis (rubber tree). The record is from RNAcentral. Lineage: Eukaryota; Viridiplantae; Streptophyta; Magnoliopsida; Malpighiales; Euphorbiaceae.
UUCGUUCUCAAUCUUGAGGCGGCAAAUCCAGAAUGGUGUAGAGUGAAAGUUACCUGCUCGCCUCCAGGGCGGUGGGGACACACGCUUUCAUGCCUGAACGGAUCAUUGCUGGUGGUGUUCGGAGGAUGCGGGAAGCAGGGACUGCUCAAUGAUGUGUUUGUGUUGGAUUUGGAUGCACAACAGCCAAGCUGGAAAGAAGUGUCAGGGGUAGCUCCUCCCCUACCGAGAUCCUGGCAUAGCUCAUGUAUAGCCGAUGGUUCAAAGCUAGUUGUGUACGGGGGAUGCACUGAUGAUGGUGUGCUUCUGAGUGACACCUUUGUACUGGAUUUCAUGAAGGAGAAGCCGGUAUGGAGGGAGAUAAUUUCUUCGUGGGUGCCUCCACCGAGAUUG